This 428-nucleotide ribosomal RNA is filed under the name uncultured bacterium. RNAcentral describes it as "partial 16S ribosomal RNA". It matches the Rfam family "Bacterial small subunit ribosomal RNA", at positions 354 to 796 of the family's 1533-position model. The record is from RNAcentral.
GUGGGGAAUAUUGGGCAAUGGGCGAAAGCCUGAGCCAGCAACGCCGCGUGAGGGAAGAAGGUUUUCGGAUUGUAAACCUCUGUCCUAUGUGACGAAUAAAGUGACGGUAGCAUAGGAGGAAGCCCCGGCUAACUACGUGCCAGCAGCCGCGGUAAUACGUAGGGGGCGAGCGUUGUCCGGAAUUACUGGGCGUAAAGGGUGCGUAGGCGGUAGAUUAAGUUGGAUGUGAAACCCCCGUGCUUAACAUGGGGCGGUCAUUCAAAACUGGUUUACUAGAGUACAGGAGAGGGAAGCGGAAUUCCUAGUGUAGCGGUGAAAUGCGUAGAUAUUAGGAGGAACACCAGUGGCGAAGGCGGCUUUCUGGACUGUAACUGACGCUGAGGCACGAAAGCGUGGGGAGCAAACAGGAUUAGAUACCCGAGUAGUCC